CAGCCGCCGCGGUAAUACGAAGGGGGCUAGCGUUGUUCGGAAUCACUGGGCGUAAAGCGCACGUAGGCGGACACUUAAGUCAGAGGUGAAAUCCCAAGGCUCAACCUUGGAACUGCCUUUGAUACUGGGUGUCUUGAGUUCGGGAGAGGUGAGUGGAACUGCGAGUGUAGAGGUGAAAUUCGUAGAUAUUCGCAAGAACACCAGUGGCGAAGGCGGCUCACUGGCCCGAUACUGACGCUGAGGUGCGAAAGCGUGGGGAGCAAACAGGAUUAGAUACCCCCGUAGUCCCUGUCUCUUAUAC
Molecule: ribosomal RNA, 301 nt
Filed under: uncultured bacterium
Lineage: Bacteria
Description: partial 16S ribosomal RNA
Rfam family: Bacterial small subunit ribosomal RNA
Source: RNAcentral